RNAcentral lists this ribosomal RNA (484 nucleotides) under uncultured bacterium. Its description in RNAcentral is "partial 16S ribosomal RNA". It matches the Rfam family "Bacterial small subunit ribosomal RNA", at positions 28 to 523 of the family's 1533-position model. The record is from RNAcentral.
GACGAACGCUGGCGGCGUGCUUAACACAUGCAAGUCGAACGAUGAAGCCGGAGCUUGCUCUGGUGAAUUAGUGGCGAACGGGAGAGUAACACGUGAGUAACCUGCCCUUGACUCUGGGAUAACUGCGGGAAACUGUAGCUAAUACCGGAUACGACCCUCGGAGGCAUCUCCUGGGGGUGGAAAGAAUUUCGGUCAAGGAUGGACUCGCGGCCUAUCAGCUAGUUGGUGAGGUAAAGGCUCACCAAGGCGACGACGGGAAGCCGGCCUGAGAGGGUGACCGGCCACACUGGGACUGAGACACGGCCCAGACUUCUACGGGAGGCAGCAGUGGGGAAUAUUGCACAAUGGGCGCAAGCCUGAUGCAGCAACGCCGCGUGAGGGAUGACGGCCUUCGGGUUGUAAACCUCUUUUAGCAGGGAAGAAGCGAAAGUGACGGUACCUGCAGAAAAAGCACCGGCUAACUACGUGCCAGCAGCCGCCGUAA